UAAGUCGUAACCCGGAAGGUGCGGCUGGAUCACCUCCUAA
This 40-nucleotide ribosomal RNA is filed under the name Synechococcus sp. WH 8017. Its description in RNAcentral is "partial 16S ribosomal RNA". Lineage: Bacteria; Bacillati; Cyanobacteriota; Cyanophyceae; Synechococcales; Synechococcaceae. The record is from RNAcentral.